GCAGCCGCCACGGGAAUACAGAGGGUGCGAGCGUUAAUCGGAUUUACUGGGCGUAAAGCGUGCGUAGGCGGCUUCUUAAGUCGGAUGUGAAAUCCCUGAGCUUAACUUAGGAAUUGCAUUCGAUACUGGGAAGCUAGAGUAUGGGAGAGGAUGGUAGAAUUCCAGGUGUAGCGGUGAAAUGCGUAGAGAUCUGGAGGAAUACCGAUGGCGAAGGCAGCCAUCUGGCCUAAUACUGACGCUGAGGUACGAAAGCAUGGGGAGCAAACAGGAUUAGAUACCCCAGUAGUCCCUGUCUCUUAUAA
RNAcentral lists this ribosomal RNA (302 nucleotides) under uncultured bacterium. RNAcentral's name for it is "partial 16S ribosomal RNA". It matches the Rfam family "Bacterial small subunit ribosomal RNA", at positions 508 to 809 of the family's 1533-position model. The record is from RNAcentral.